UCUCCGUAGGUGAACCUGCGGAGGGAUCAUUACUGAGUGAGGGCUCCGGCCCGACCUCCAACCCCAUGUGAACCGAAACCUGUUGCUUCGGGGGCGACCCUGCCGUUCGGCGCGGCGCCCCCGGUGGACCACCCAACCCUGCAUCGUUGCGUCUGAGUCGAAAUAUAAAUCAAUCAAAACUUUCAACAACGGAUCUCUUGGUUCUGGCAUCGAUGAAGAACGCAGC
Molecule: unclassified non-coding RNA, 226 nt
Filed under: uncultured fungus
Lineage: Eukaryota; Fungi
Description: sequence contains ITS1, 5.8S rRNA gene
Rfam family: 5.8S ribosomal RNA (bases 178-226)
Source: RNAcentral